CAGCAGCCGCGGGAACACGUAGGUGGCAAGCGUUGUCCGGAAUUAUUGGGCGUAAAGGGCUCGCAGGCGGUUUCUUAAGUCUGAUGUGAAAGCCCCCGGCUCAACCGGGGGGGGUCAUUGGAAACUGGGAAACUUGAGUGCAGAAGAGGAGAGUGGAAUUCCACGUGUAGCGGUGAAAUGCGUAGAGAUGUGGAGGAACACCAGUGGCGAAGGCGACUCUCUGGUCUGUAACUGACGCUGAGGAGCGAAAGCGUGGGGAGCGAACAGGAUUAGAUACCCCUGUAGUCCCUGUCUCUUAUAC
Molecule: ribosomal RNA, 301 nt
Filed under: uncultured bacterium
Lineage: Bacteria
Description: partial 16S ribosomal RNA
Rfam family: Bacterial small subunit ribosomal RNA
Source: RNAcentral